RNAcentral lists this small nucleolar RNA (142 nucleotides) under Castor canadensis (American beaver). RNAcentral's name for it is "Small nucleolar RNA SNORA15 (ENSCCNG00000022871.1)". It matches the Rfam family "Small nucleolar RNA SNORA15". From Rfam's summary of the family: ACA15 is a member of the H/ACA class of snoRNA that guide the sites of modification of uridines to pseudouridines. Lineage: Eukaryota; Metazoa; Chordata; Mammalia; Rodentia; Castoridae. The record is from Rfam by way of RNAcentral.
GCAUGGCAGAAUACUGUGUUCUUUGAUCAGUAGUUUACACAGCCAGACACCAUGCAAAAGUAAAGUCUACACUUUAAAAUGACUGUGAUGGUAUGCUGUGUUUUCCAUAGUGUAUCAUUCAUUAUUAAAAGUGAAUACAAAU